Molecule: ribosomal RNA, 479 nt
Filed under: uncultured bacterium
Lineage: Bacteria
Description: partial 16S ribosomal RNA
Rfam family: Bacterial small subunit ribosomal RNA
Source: RNAcentral
GAUGAACGCUGGCGGCGUGCUUAACACAUGCAAGUCGAGCGAGAAGUUUUGAACAGAUUCUUCGGAUGAAGUUUAAAAUGGAAAGCGGCGGACGGGUGAGUAACGCGUAGGCAACCUGCCCCAUACAAAGGGAUAGCAUUUGGAAACGAAUAUUAAUACCUUAUGAAACUUAACUAGUGCAUGCUAGGUAGGUCAAAGAUUUAUCGGUAUGGGAUGGGCCUGCGUCUGAUUAGCUAGUUGGUGAGGUAACGGCUCACCAAGGCGACGAUCAGUAGCCGACCUGGGAGGGUGAACGGCCACAUUGGAACUGAGACACGGUCCAAACUCCUACGGGAGGGAGCAGGGGGGAAUAUUGCAAAAUGGGGGAAACCCGGAAGCAGCAACGCCGCGUGAACGAUGAAGGCCUUUGGGUCGUAAAGUUCUGUUCUAGGUGAUGAAAACUGACAGUAACCUAGGAAAAAGCCCCGGCUAACUCCGUG